GAAAAUGAGAGAGGAUAUAAAUUUUUAGUUAUAUUUUCUUUAGAUUUGAUUUAUGAUAGAUUAAAAAUAAUAAUAUCUACAUUUCACGUACAAAAUAGGUAAAUUCUACUAUGUAUUCUAUGUCAUAUUUCAUGAUUAAAUUAUCUAGACCAAAAAUUUUCUAGAUUACAGGUAUAUAUAAUGACCUAGUAACAAAAAUUUCUAGAUCUGUCCCUAUCCCUCAGUCCCUCUUAUCAUACCCUUUUUGUUAUAACGUUUAAAUAUUGAUUAC
This 271-nucleotide unclassified non-coding RNA is filed under the name Hevea brasiliensis (rubber tree). Lineage: Eukaryota; Viridiplantae; Streptophyta; Magnoliopsida; Malpighiales; Euphorbiaceae. The record is from RNAcentral.